RNAcentral lists this long non-coding RNA (3388 nucleotides) under Nicotiana tabacum (common tobacco). RNAcentral's name for it is "long non-coding RNA (NTAB_LNC008214)". The record is from RNAcentral. Lineage: Eukaryota; Viridiplantae; Streptophyta; Magnoliopsida; Solanales; Solanaceae.
UUUUCGCUUGAACCCAUUGGACUCUGCAAACGCCUUAAAGAAAAAUAGAUGAAACUUGUUAGGAAAAUCAAGUGAAGAAAAAGAGUCUAACUGAUGAACCAAAACAGUUGGGAUAUAUUCAGAUUUUAAAAGUCAUUAGCUUUUGAAGUAAUGAGUUAUCUAAGCUAUGGUACCCUUUAUUCUAUGAGAUUUAAUUACCCUAUGAUUUUUUCUAAACAAUCACAAUAAAUAAAAAAUCAUAUGAUAUUAGUGUUAGUUCCACAAAUACAACAUAUAAACAUGAAUGGGCUUAUAGCAGCAUUGAAAUAAAGUAAGGGAAGGGGCUGGACUCUGUGUUGGGCUGACAACAGGUCAGAUCCAAUUUAAAUUUUAAGCAACAACGGGCUUCAGCGAAUAGUGACUGCAAAUGAAGGAGAGGGUCCAGCUUAGUUGCUAUGGCCAGAGUUCACCGUGAACUGCACAGGCCCAAUGGUUCAUGCAAAAGAAGAAAAGCCAAUUCUUUUAGUACAAUAUGUAGGAAACAAUAAUAAAACAUAUCAUGAACAUAAUUAUGGUCUGAAAUGACAUAAAUAAAUCUAUUUUUGUUUGUGACAACCCCGUAGAUAUUAGUCAAGGUCAACUACUACUAGCUAGAGUGAACCAAAUCUACUUACAAGAUUGCCCUAUAAACCUCAUACACUUGAGAGUUCACAAGGGCCUCGUGGACCCCGAGCAGUGCUUGUGUUAGGGAGGACCCCCCUGGUGGUAGAAUUAGGUUCACAACAUAAACUUUUAGUCAUUGAGCCUUGUUCUUCCAUAGAGGUUUAAACACAAACCAAGAUCCCAAUACCUUGAGAAAACAGAAUAUUCAGAACAUCAAACAAACACAAACACAAAACAUUUCUUUCAACACAGAAGGCCUUAAGCCCCCGUGAACAUGGCAAGCUUAUGAACUAAGUAGAUCACAAAUAUUCCCAAUCAAUUAAAUUUAUAUCACAGUCAGUUAGACAAAGAAUCAUUGAAGGAUUAGAGCAUUAGCACAUGCUUCAAAUCCAAAGUAUCCUUAGUAAAUGAUCAUUGUUAAAGUACAUGAUGGAAAGAUAUAUCAUCACACAGGACCUUAGGGAUGUUAAAAGACUUCAAAAAGCUUCAGAAUAAACUCAGAAUUACUUUACAUAUCAUGGCAUUUUCAUGAUCUUCCUAGGACUCACUAUUUUAGCCAAACAAGAUCAGAAGCAAGUCACAAAAUGAAGGCUGAUAGUCAGUUAUUCUCAUAAGUACAUUUACCACAUAAAAGACACUUUAAAUUGUUCAAUGUCAAUCAAAACACUUAUCUAAUUUGUCAAUAAAGUUGACAGGAAGCUUUUAUCCAAACACAUACUUAUCCUCAGGGUCAAGGGUCUAAUACCUCACAAGAAUAUGAUUAGCCAUGGUUUUUUUAAACAGGUUUAGAUCAUCAAAACAAAACCAUAUGACACCAGACCAAACUCAAAUAGUCCCACACAGUAAAUAGGUAUAUAGUUGAGAGAUCAUCCACUUCAUUGCAUAUGAAGUAACCUAAGCUAAACAUUUAGACAGUAGAAUUAACCUCACAAGAAAUCGCACUAACAUAGGUGACAACAAGAACGAUUCAACAUGAUAAAGUAGUUAGACUUAGUCCCAAAUUGAACCCUAUAGGCAUGGAAUCUAUAAUAGUUUGUAGUGAAGGAAAAAGCAUUUAGUUGAAUCAUCAAGCAGCCUAGAUCAAAAGUACUCAACCAAUAGGCUAGGUAGUAUUGCCUCAAGUCAAUUAAGGUAUUCUAGAUAUAGUCUUCAUAACCAUAAAUAGUAAGUAGGAUAAAAUAUUAGCAUGUGUGGUUGCAAGUUAACAGACAUUUAACUUAAUGAAAGUAUGAUUACCUCUAAACCAUAAAUGGAACAUGUUAAAACAAGUGCUUAAAUCUUAUCACAUACUAUAUGUUAAUAUCAACAUAACAUGAUGUACAAGGAUCACUGCCUACAAGACUUCAAUUUACUAAGAAUGCUAACCUAAUAAGACACACAAUGCUAUCAAGUAACUAAGCAAGACAUUGUAAGAACCUAAACGACUAACAACAAAGAACCAGUAGCUAAGCAGAAAUAAACAUGGGAAACAAGAUUCAACUGUCACCAAGAAAUAUUUGUUGGCUAAGCAGAACAACAUAAGAGACAAACACAAUUGUUAAUAGUGAAUGCCGAUUAGCUAAGGAGAAAACAACAUGAGCAGCAAAACACAAAUGUCAAUGAAAGAUAUAUAUUGGUUAACAUAAUAUCAUAAGAGAGAGCAGAAACAUUGUUAAUAAAGAAAUAUCAAAUAGCUAAGUAGAAAUAAUAUGAGAAAAGCUACAAGCAAUUCAGACUUAUUAAAACAAAAUCAGAGGUUUACUGACCUUUCUAGGGGAAGCAAAUCAGGUAAUUACUCCAUACCAUUAAGAACCUGUGCAACCAACUCCAAACGAUUAAGCUCGAACAUAAUACGAAAAAGAAAAAAAAGAACUCAGACAAGUCUACUUAAGACUUAAAGGGAAUUCAAUUGUAGUGCAUUUACUAUUAUUCGAUUGUAGUUGUGUGUGUUGGUGAGAGAAUUAAAGCAUGAUAUAUAGAGCCAAGAUUGGGGCUUUAGGGUUUUGAGUUUAAGAUUCAAAAUUAGUAGAAGACACUGAAUAUCAAUGAACACUGAUGAGACAUCUUAUGACGAAAUCAAAGUAAAAAUAAGAAAUUAGAAGGGAAAAUAGACUAAAGAUUUUACCAAUUCAGAGGUGACUACCGGACUAGCCGUUUGAAGCCAAUGGACCUCCAAACAAAGCAUUUACCUAGAGGUCCCUGCAUUUGACCUGUGGGCUAUCAACCGUCACGAUGAGGUCAAGAUUCUUUCGAAUCUAUGGAUGCAUGUGAUGCCUUAAUGGAGAUUUGAACGAAUGAAUGCGGUGAUGAAGGGUAUGAUGAUGAGAUUCUUUGUCUUUCAUGUUUGGGUGUAGGGUUUCAGGAGUUGAGAUUUGUAAAUGAAUGAUGGAAAUGGGAAGUAUUCGGCUAGAUUCUCGGCUUAUCAGGGAGAGUGGUUGUCUUAUAGUUGUUUUCCAGUGCUCUUGCACACAUUUGUGUAAGGUUCAUGGAUGACAGAAAUUGGAGAGGAUGAGAGAAAAGUAAGAGGAAGGGAAAAUGGGGGUGGCUGGCAUAAGGAGAAAUUAUUAGGGUUAGGAGCGGUCUGGUGGGCUAAAAGUGAAGGGAUGGAUAUGGGCCGUUGGAUAACCAGAUCAACAGCUCAGAAUAUUAGUCUAAAAUAUAAAAUAAAAAUGACAUUUGAAGAUAAAACAAGGGCCGUUGGAUCAUUGUGAUCCAAGUUGGAUCAGAUAAAAGCAUGGAGGAAUUAUAGUUAAAAGGGGAAAUUGUG